GGAACACCUCCAGUGGCUUCGGGCUCCUCAAACUGAAUCUGUGCCGUGGUGGAAAAGGGCCUCACCUCGCUGAUGGAUGGAGCCGAUGGCACCUCUGGAAGAAUGGAAGACAUGCAGCGUGAUUACAACAGAAAGUGUGCAGGUCAUUAUCUCUAGCAAAACUGCUGGCAGGACACAGGCCCCUUAACAACCACACUACAGGAUUUAGAUAUUCAGCUACUACUGUCGUCCAUGAUUUUACCUGCUCUCCUUCAGUGAAGACGUGCUCACCGUAGCUCCAGCUGAUGGUUGGUGUUGGGUCCCCUGAAGCUUCACAGGUAAGCGUUACCUGCUCCUCCAUCUCUGAUGUGCUCUGGUUUACGAUGUAUGUGAUCUUGGGUUUGAC
Betta splendens (Siamese fighting fish) is the source of this 385-nucleotide long non-coding RNA. RefSeq lists it as uncharacterized. NCBI's taxonomy places the organism in Eukaryota, Metazoa, Chordata, Actinopteri, Anabantiformes, Osphronemidae. The transcript has 2 exons. The record is from RefSeq and is a predicted model, not a curated record.